Molecule: transfer RNA, 77 nt
Filed under: Clostridium sp. CAG:1219
Lineage: Bacteria; Bacillati; Bacillota; Clostridia; Eubacteriales; Clostridiaceae
Description: transfer RNA-Met(CAT)
Rfam family: tRNA
About the family: Transfer RNA (tRNA) molecules are approximately 80 nucleotides in length. Their secondary structure includes four short double-helical elements and three loops (D, anti-codon, and T loops). Further hydrogen bonds mediate the characteristic L-shaped molecular structure. tRNAs have two regions of fundamental functional importance: the anti-codon, which is responsible for specific mRNA codon recognition, and the 3' end, to which the tRNAs corresponding amino acid is attached (by aminoacyl-tRNA synthetases). tRNAs cope with the degeneracy of the genetic code in two manners: having more than one tRNA (with a specific anti-codon) for a particular amino acid; and 'wobble' base-pairing, i.e. permitting non-standard base-pairing at the 3rd anti-codon position.
Source: RNAcentral
GGCGGCUUAGCUUAGUUGGCUAGAGCGUUCGGUUCAUACCCGAAAGGUCACAAGUUCGACUCUUGUAGCCGCUACCA